AGGGAGUGCGUAGGAAACGGUGGAGGUAUGGGGUUAACAAACCAUUGGGCUAGGAGGGAGAAAGGCCCAAACCAACACGAGGAAACCUAUUCGUUCAAUUCACAAUCUCAGUUUGGACUCGAAAUCAGCUCACUCCUCACCUGAACUCCGUUACCCUCCCGCCGCGCCGGAAAUCGCCACCGACGGCGGCGGAGAUCUAAACCACAAAACUCAUACACCAAAUCCUUCGUCUCCACGCCCUUAACCCGAAUCCAUCCCCCGAUUGAACCAAAUCAUGCGCGAAUGUCCUAAUUGAAGUGAUCGUUUAUGAACCCUAAAUGAAAGAAACUAUAAUUAAAUUCUCCAGAUACAGAAUAAAAGCCCGAAUGGUUGGGGCUUCGAUUCCCUAAGCUCUCAACUAUGUCACAGCAACAAGCUCAAUGUGAAAUGAAGCAGAAAUCAGCAUACCUGCCUGAGAAGACGAAGGCGACGACGAAAUUCGGGAUUAGUGCACGAAGGUUCACGGGAAGAUUAUCUAGUGCACAGUGUAAAAGCUAAUAAAACUCUUCCGACUUAUUAACGUUAGCAUCACCAUUUUUACCCUUAUGGACCUUCUGCAACCGCUCAUCUAGCACAAGCAGACCCUAUGAGCGAUGGGCAGCUACCAUUGGAAAUGCUUGUGAUGUAUUUGUAGGUUGUUGAGCUUGCUACAACAUAACUUUUCAUAACUGCCCUCGAUUCAGAGAUAUCACAAACAGAUUUGUCCAACUUCAUGUACAUUUCUGAAUCAGCUAUUGGAGCAUUAUUGAAUGCAGCAAGAACAAAUUGAUCAUCAUACCUAUCAACAUCAGGCAAUAAUGGCGUGAACUCAACAUGAUACAAAUCUUUUUAGUUGCACGAAUAGGACGUGACUUGGCUGCUUCAAAUGAUGCUUCAAUUUCCCUAAUAUGUCUUUCCUUGUUGCUAAGAUGGCUUCUUUAUAGAAGCAUUUUCGUUGUUGCCAUGUAUAUUCUUCUGGUACAACAUGUGUUGCUUUACAAUUUGCCAUGUCUGCAAACCAAUAUCUCUCACUAAUAGCCAUUAUCUUCUCAACUGGAAAUGUCUAUGUGAUAUUAUCCUUAUUUUUGGUCA
This is a long non-coding RNA of Lathyrus oleraceus (garden pea), 1110 nucleotides long. RefSeq lists it as uncharacterized. The record is from RefSeq and is a predicted model, not a curated record. The transcript is spliced from 2 exons. NCBI's taxonomy places the organism in Eukaryota, Viridiplantae, Streptophyta, Magnoliopsida, Fabales, Fabaceae.